This is a long non-coding RNA of Takifugu rubripes (torafugu), 1632 nucleotides long. The record is from Ensembl. NCBI's taxonomy places the organism in Eukaryota, Metazoa, Chordata, Actinopteri, Tetraodontiformes, Tetraodontidae.
AUUGGCUGGUUUUGAAUUCCUGACGUUCAAAGUCCUCAGAGGAGGAGUCCUAAAGAUCUAAAUCAAUGCAUAUGUGUGUCUUUUGGUUGGUGCAUGACCUCUUUGGUUUAAAAUAAAAAUGGAGUAGCUAUUUUUACAUCACAAAGUAGGAAGAAUGUAGUUCUACAGGAUUUAAGCAAUGGACUACAUCUCCUACUAGUUUUUUAUCAUUGUUAUAAGUAAAUGCUUAUGAUUGAAGUUAUGAUUAGCAUGCAGUCACAUUACUAAUGAAUGAAACACUUUAUUUAGGUAUGAAAAACAUACCUAACUACUCUAUUUGAUCCUCAAAUUGUUUUAUUUAUAAUCAGAAAAUGUUUAACCAGAGUUAAGCAACAUGUCGUAGACCUGUGAAUAACUAACAACCUCUAGCACACACACACACCCACAAACACACGCACACACACAUAUAUGGAGUUGGGACAGAAAGAAACCUGUUGUACGAGAUGAAAAGCACCACAUGAAUGACAGGACGUCUCACUGCUGUUGACGUAUUUCUGAGACUUCCUUAGGAGGAUUUUGCGGUAGAGCUGUAGAAUACACGCAGUGUUAAAGGGACCCUUAAUCUACCAGAAGUAGAACACCCACGAUGGAAUUUGCUUGUGGGUUUGUUUAUGUGCCACCAUCAGCGAGUCAGAAGGACAGUCCACGGGGCAACGUAAACCUCGUUAAGCGUUCAGCUCUUCUACCUCCUGUUGGCCGGUGGGUGCGUCCUCAAACUCCUCCACCUCCGCCCCCACUAAACCCCGCAGAAGCCAGAUCAGCUAAAUCUCCACUGUCCAGGAAUACUGAAGGUUUAAACAAGAACAUGGAGAUGAAUUCUGCAAAUGCAGAAGUUCACAGCAAACUUGCUGCCGGUUUUCCUGUCAGUACAACUCAGCCAACAACACCUCGAAAAACUGCCCUCCUUCCUCCGCAUAUGAAGCUGGCAGCGAACAGCCAAUCUUGGAGUUCUCCUAACACAAACAGUCAGCCACAGACCUUUGGCCUCCCCAAAAAUGAGCCGGAUUCAAACGAGCAAAACUGGAACCCAGACUGGUCGUGCAGCAUGGCCCAUGGGAGGGUCGUGCACGUGAAGCUGGGGAGUGGGUCAGCUCAAAUAACAGCCCCACCACUUCCUCUGAAACCAUCCUUCAUGGGGCCAGAAUACUUGACUGUGUUACCGGCAUCCGUCUCAUCCCCUCAAUCAUCUCAGAAAUCCCUUUCAGAACAAACAGACCCACCAUCGCCCACCAGUAAAGGAUCAGCCGAUAAAGCGAUCUUGCCUGGAAAUCCUAAUGUGGUGCUUGUCAGUUUGGGAAAGAUAUUGUCGGAGCAAAAAGUACAGACCACAAAAGGAAAACCUACAUCGUGCACCCAGUGCGGCUCCGUCCUUGACUCAACUUAUGACAACAUGGUUAACACGUGCUACUUCUGCCAGGACUUGGACAACCACUCCAGUUUACCACAGGAGCCCCCCGCCGGUUACCACGACAACCUGUUUUUGCUCAAUUCUGACGAAAAGCCGCUCUCAGCAGAAGCUCUGCUGCUCUUUUGCAUCGACGUCUCUGGUUCCAUGAGCAUGACCUUCCAGGUGAGAACCGCCCAACGGAUGGA